Molecule: unclassified non-coding RNA, 19 nt
Filed under: Haloarcula marismortui
Lineage: Archaea; Methanobacteriati; Methanobacteriota; Halobacteria; Halobacteriales; Haloarculaceae
Also listed under: 1 other name
Description: HMKT-7 from Haloarcula marismortui (PDB 5FJ0, chain B)
Source: RNAcentral
GGCGAAGAACCGGGGAGCC